This 917-nucleotide long non-coding RNA is filed under the name Parus major (Great Tit). Its description in RNAcentral is "lncRNA (ENSPMJG00000003842.1)". Lineage: Eukaryota; Metazoa; Chordata; Aves; Passeriformes; Paridae. The record is from RNAcentral.
UUCUAAUCUAAUUCUGCUCAUCUGAUAUGUAAAAUACAGCUGUCCUUCAGUUGACUUCCUUUGUUCCAGGAACAGUUUAACAGUGAAACACAUCAUCCAGAUAACUCUCUUUUGGGUAUAGAUGGAAGAACACCCAGCUCUCAAAACUUCCAUCUCCUGGCUGACACAGCAACCUGAUACAAAUCUCACCUCUGAUCCAAAAGCAAAUCAUCCUCUGCCUCCCUGGUGAUAACAGAAGUGCCCAUCUUCCCUCACGCAAGACUUCAGAGAAAUUUCCGUGGUUUUCAGGGCCCGGCUGAACGCGGUACAGCAGCUUGGGGCAGGGGUACAGUGUUGGCAUGUGGGAGUGUAGGAGCAGUGGAGGCAGGGCCUGGCUGAACACAGAACAAGAAACACGGGGUACAGCAACUUGGGACAGAGCUACAAGGAGCUGUUCUGCAUCCGUGGAGUUGAAAGGGUUUAUGGCUCAUAAAAAGAACUGACAAGCUGUAUUUCAUGAGGAUUAGGCCACAUGCCAAACCCUCCACAGGCUCACAGCUGAGCAGGGGAGGGCAAUGCCCAACUUCAGGAUGCUCUGGCAGCUGUGCCCUGGCCAGAGGCAGGAAAAGGAGAUUGCCACCUGCACUGAAACCUGGAGCUGUGACAUGUGGAUGUCUUGAGCAGUGAUGCUAAAAGUGUAACUUGUGGUCCUUAAAACCCAAUGAAGUACAUGGGACAGCUGAAGCAGAGGUUUCUCUUGUUCCAUGCAUAACAACGUGGGCUAGGAACAGGUUUAUCAAUACCAGCAACAGCACUGCUGCAUGUUCAUUAAUAUUUCUAGUCAAAGCUAUGUAUCUAUCCCAUAAACUCAUGGAAAGUUUCAGCUUUGUAGCAAGGGGCAGAGAAAUAAAAUCAUGAAGAAUGUUUUGGAUUUGGCA